RNAcentral lists this ribosomal RNA (313 nucleotides) under uncultured bacterium. RNAcentral's name for it is "bacterial SSU rRNA". It matches the Rfam family "Bacterial small subunit ribosomal RNA", at positions 29 to 368 of the family's 1533-position model. The record is from RNAcentral.
ACGAACGCUGGCGGCAGGCUUAACACAUGCAAGUCGAACGCGUGUAGCAAUACACGAGUGGCGCACGGGUGAGUAACGCGUGGAUAUCUGCCUUUUGGUUCGGAAUAACCCCGGGAAACUGGGGCUAAUACCGGAUGGUUCCUUCGGGAUAAAGAUUUAUCGCCAAAAGAUGAGUCCGCGUACGAUUAGCUAGUUGGUGAGGUAAUGGCUCACCAAGGCGACGAUCGUUAGCUGGUCUGAGAGGACGAUCAGCCACACUGGGACUGAGACACGGCCCAGACUCCUACGGGAGGCAGCAGUGGGGAAUAUUGGA